Molecule: long non-coding RNA, 1725 nt
Filed under: Sus scrofa (pig)
Lineage: Eukaryota; Metazoa; Chordata; Mammalia; Artiodactyla; Suidae
Description: lncRNA (ENSSSCG00030036559.1)
Source: RNAcentral
CCCAGGCUAGGGGCUGAAUCAAAACUGCAGCUGCUAGCCUACACCAGAGCCACAGCAACACCAGAUCUGAGUUGUAUCUGUGACCUACACCACUGCGUGCAGCAACACCGGAUCCUUAUCCCACUGGGCAGCAUAUGGAGGUUCCCAAACUAGAGGUCUAAUUGGAGCCACAGCCGCUAGCCUAUGCCAGAGCCACAGCAACUCGGGAUUGGAGCCAAGUCUUUGACCUACACCACAGCUCACAGGAACACCAGAUCUUUAACUCACUGAGCGAGGCCAGGGAUCAAACCCGCAACCUCAUGGUUCCUAGUCAGAUUUGUUAACCACUGAGCCACGACGGGAACUCCACUCCUGCACAUAUUUAAUGCCAAAAUGUUAAAAUGUCCAAGAAAUUACAACAUAAGGCCAGAUGACAAAAAGGGUUUUUUUCAACCUUGGGGUGGGUGCAAAGACAGUUUUUCAUAAAAUGCAUUAUAUGUAGUUAGGAGAUGAGUGCUUUAAGAUUUUAGUGUGUGUCCGUGUGUGCACGUGUGUGUACGCACACACACAUAUACACGUUUGCAGCCUCAGAGUAUAAAAUGCACGUCUUACUAUGAGUCACCCUUGGAGUCUGAAAGCAGGCAGGCUCCUUGACUGCCAUGAAAUUUUAAUAUUCUAAUAAAAUGUCUUUAGCAACAUCAGACAAGCACUGAGACCUCUCUGAAGCUUGGUUUUAAAUUUGACACUGAAUUCUGUGUGCAUCCCAGUUCAAAGACUGCCAAGAAGGGAUAUUUCGCCUGUCACCUCAUUUUAUAAAUCCACAGCCCUCCCUGGAACCAGCGCUGCUGACCCCACUCACAAUCAGGUCAGGCCUUGCUGAGGCCAUGCACACCACAUACAAGGCCUCCUGGCCAACCCUCAGCCAUCCGUCAUAACAGGCUCUCGCUGGAGCGGGCACAUAGGAGAAGUGUGGGCCCACCCCUAGUGUGGGGCUCAUGGUGGCCAGGCCGCCUGAACUCAGGCAGCUUCUCUCACCCCAUCUAGGGGAGGCCAGCAUGGCUGGUCUGUUUCCCACAGUAUGUUUUCCAUCUAAAAGCACAACAGGAGUUCCCAUUGUGGUGCAGCGGAAAUGUAUCCGACUGUGAACCAUGAGGUUGGGGGUUCGACCCCUGGCCUCACUCAGUGGCAAGUGCAGGGACCGAACCCGCAAUCUCAUGGUUCCUAGUCAGAUUCGUUAACCACUGUGCCAUGACGGGAACUCCCCCACCUGCUUUUUAAACAAGGCAUGUAUAACAAGUCUAAGAAAAGUGUGUCAGACUCUCAAGGCAUACAGAGAGUGUGUGUGUGUGUGUGUGUGUGUGUGUGUGUAUGUGUGUGUGUGUGAAAGAGAGAGAGAGAGAGAGAGAGAUGAUCUAAAACUGUGUUUUUCCAUUUUUCUUUGUAUUUUUUAUGAUUUCCAUAACGAGUAUUGCAGCAAUUGGAGACCUGUAGACAAGCAUCAGCAAGAAAACAGAAGCCAAGUCAUCUGCUAACCACGUGACCACCAUUCUGGACACUGCCUAGUCCUUUCCAGGCAAAGUAUAGGUACAGCUUUUCUGACUGGCUCUUAGCCAUCAAAUUAGACAUAUUUUACACUAUUAUUUUUAAAGAUUAGCUAGCCUAACUAUCUCCUCAUCUCUGACCAUCUGUCAGUGGGGUGCAGCCACUGGGUUUUCCGUUUAUCAACACCAUGCACCCUUUCUAAUA